RNAcentral lists this ribosomal RNA (406 nucleotides) under uncultured prokaryote. RNAcentral's name for it is "bacterial SSU rRNA". It matches the Rfam family "Bacterial small subunit ribosomal RNA", at positions 355 to 776 of the family's 1533-position model. RNAcentral also lists the same sequence under 1 other name. The record is from RNAcentral.
UGGGGAAUAUUGGGCAAUGGGGGAAACCCUGACCCAGCGACGCCGCGUGAGGGAAGAAGGUUUUCGGAUUGUAAACCUCUGUUCUUGGUGAAGAGAAGAAGACGGUAGCCAAGGAGGAAGCCCCGGCUAACUACGUGCCAGCAGCCGCGGUAAUACGUAGGGGGCGAGCGUUGUCCGGAAUGAUUGGGCGUAAAGGGCGCGUAGGCGGCUGAUUAAGUCUGGAGUGGAAGUCCUAUUUUUAAGGUAGGAAUUGCUUUGGAAACUGAUCAGCUUGAGUGCAGGAGAGGUUAUCGGAAUUCCCGGUGUAGCGGUGAAAUGCGUAGAGAUCGGGAGGAACACCAGUGGCGAAGGCGGGUAACUGGACUGCAACUGACGCUGAGGCGCGAAAGUGUGGGGAGCAAACAGG